RNAcentral lists this ribosomal RNA (460 nucleotides) under uncultured bacterium. RNAcentral's name for it is "partial 16S ribosomal RNA". It matches the Rfam family "Bacterial small subunit ribosomal RNA", at positions 338 to 795 of the family's 1533-position model. The record is from RNAcentral.
CCUACGGGUGGCAGCAGUGAGGAAUAUUGGUCAAUGGGCGCGAGCCUGAACCAGCCAAGUAGCGUGAAGGAUGACUGCUCUCCGGGUUGUAAACUUCUUUUAUAAAGGAAUAAAGUGAGGCACGUGUGCCUUUUUGUAUGUACCUUAUGAAUAAGGACAGGCUAACUCCGUGCCAGCAGCCGCGGUAAUACGGAGGAUCCGAGCGUUAUCCGGAUUUAUUGGGUUUAAAGGGAGCGUAGAUGGGUUGUUAAGUCAGUUGUGAAAGUUUGCGGCUAAACCGUAAAAUUGCAAUUGAUACUGGCAGCCUUGAGUACAGUUGAGGUAAGCGGAAUUCGUGGUGUAGCGGUGAAAUGCUUAGAUAUCACGAAGAACUCCGAUGGCGAAGGCAGCCUACUAGACUGCCACUGACAUUGAUGCUCGAAAGUGUGGGUAGCAAACAGGAUUAGAUACCCGGGUAGUC